Molecule: non-coding RNA, 1364 nt
Organism: Malus domestica (apple)
Lineage: Eukaryota; Viridiplantae; Streptophyta; Magnoliopsida; Rosales; Rosaceae
Source: RefSeq, a predicted model, not a curated record
GUUGACUUUAAUUGAUUGAAGCUCUUCGUUUGGAUGCAGCCAUUCGAUUAAGUAACUUACAACCCCAAUUGCUCAAGGGGUUGUGGAAUUUGAACUGUUUUGAACGAAAUGCUGUGGAAUUUGAAUUGUUUUGAAGGAAACCAGGCCAAUUUCAAAACUGCAGGUACACACGCGGAUGCACCUAGCAAAAUUGAAGUGAAGUACUAACAUUUUACAGGGCAGAACCUUCAAAUGGUAUUUUCUUAACUUAUUGCAGAUUGCAUAACAUACCUCUUUCUAAUAUUUGAAACACUAUUUGAUAUUUGAAUUGAUACUUGAACUGAAUAAACAUCAGAUAGGACAAUCAAUUUAAAUAUCAGAUUUCAUUUUUGUAUUAUGUCUCAAUAUCAUAUUUUAAUCAUCGUUAUUGGUAUUAAAUGUGAUAAUGAAUCUUUAUAAUCAGUGCAAUGUAUUAUCUAAUAUCAUGUUGAUUUUGUCAUCUGAGUUUCUUAGAAAGCUCGCAGCUCAGUUACUUUUUUUACUAGGGUUUUGACUUUUUAUUUGUAUUUUUUAGGAAAUUGCAAAAACCUCACAUUGAGAUUUGGUUCUUUCAGCAGUAGGACCUCAGGAUUGAAGACUGAAUUAUUGCUGCUUUCUUGACAAUCAAGAGUACAUGAGGGAAACUUUUGGUGCUCCAGUGAACAAUUUCGAUCAUAUUUUCUCAAGGUAAAUGAAACAACAUUCCGUAAUAUUUUUUGCAGUAAAUAACCCAACAUUUCGUAAUCUUUUGUAUAUAAGUUCUACUAUUGAUCGAAAACCACAAUCAAGUGAAAGGUCUAGAUCUAAUUUUUUAUUUAUUUUUAUGUAGAUAGCCAAGAGUUCUACGAAUUUUUGUAUGUGGACUGUAUCAAUUAAAUCUUUUGUAUGAAAAAAAUCUUCCUAAUGAUUUCAAUGUAAAUAAUGUUAAUCUUCUAUGACUCAAUUUUUAAGAUUUUUCAAACAUAAUCUCUUACAAUUUUUAAUCCCGCAGCAUCGAGCUGGCAGCAAUAUGUAGUUGACACUAUAACCCAAUUUAUGCGGGACACGUCAUUUUAUUUUAAAUUCUUUUUAAGGUGUACUCUUUUUCUCCUAAAUAUCUUUGAAAAGAAUUUAUUAGGUGAAACAGCAUUUACUAAAUGAGAGAAGAGAAUAACGGGGUAAGUUGUUUGAGGUCAUAAAUAUUUUCAGCAUUAGGAUUGAGACAAAACAGAGAUGCGUUUUCUAUGUACGAUGCAAACAACCCCUUCAUACCCAAAUAAGAAGACAAAAUACAGUAAAGCUAACAUUUUAGCACAGGCAUACUAAAUCAGAGCACUUCAACUCUUUGCAGAAACUUGAACUCACCU